AACGUACGCUGGCGGCACGCCUAACACAUGCAAGUCGAACGAAGUAGCAAUACUUAGUGGCAGACGGGUGAGUAACAUGUAGGUAUCUGCCCUUUGGCCUGGAAUAACACGAGGAAACUUGUGCUAAUACCGGAUAAGUCUUUACGGAGAAAGCUUUAUGCACCAUUGGAUGAGCCUGCACUUGAUUAGUUUGUUGGUGGGGUAAUGGCCUACCAAGACUGUGAUCAAUAGCUGAUUUGAGAGGAUGAUCAGCCACAUUGGGACUGAGACACGGCCCAAACUCCUACGGGAGGCAGCAGUGGGGAAUCUUGCACAAUGGAGGAAACUCUGAUGCAGCGAUGCCGCGUGAGUGAAGAAGGCCCUUGGGUUGUAAAGCUCUUUCGUCGGGGAAGAAAAUGACUGUACCCGAAUAAGAAGGUCCGGCUAACUUCGUGCCAGCAGCCGCGGUAAUACGAAGGGACCUAGCGUAGUUCGGAAUUACUGGGCUUAAAGAGUUCGUAGGUGGUUGAAAAAGUUAGUGGUGAAAUCCCAGAGCUUAACUCUGGAACUGCCAUUAAAACUUUUCAGCUAGAGUAUGAUAGAGGAAAGCAGAAUUUCUAGUGUAGAGGUGAAAUUCGUAGAUAUUAGAAAGAAUACCAAUUGCGAAGGCAGCUUUCUGGAUCAUUACUGACACUGAGGAACGAAAGCAUGGGUAGCGAAGAGGAUUAGAUACCCUCGUAGUCCAUGCCGUAAACGAUGUGUGUUAGACGUUGGAAAUUUAUUUUCAGUGUCGCAGGGAAACCGAUAAACGCACCGCCUGGGGAGUACGACCGCAAGGUUAAAACUCAAAUGAAUUGACGGGGACCCGCACAAGUAGUGGAGCAUGUGGUUUAAUUCGAAGAUACGCGCAGAACCUUACCAACACUUGACAUGUUCGUCGCGACUCUAAGAGAUUAGAGUUUUCGGUUCGGCCGGACGAAACACAGGUGCUGCAUGGCUGUCGUCAGCUCGUGUCGUGAGAUGUUGGGUUAAGUCCCGCAACGAGCGCAACCCUCACUUUUAGUUGCCAUCAUUUAGUUGGGCACUCUGAAAGAACUGCCAGUGAUAAGCUGGAGGAAGGUGGGGAUGACGUCAAGUCCUCAUGGCCCUUACGUGUUGGGCUACACACGUGCUACAAUGGUAUCUACAACAGGAAGCAAGACUGCGAAGUUAAGCAAAUCCCUAAAAGAUACCUCAGUUCGGAUUGCACUCUGCAACUCGAGUGCAUGAAGCUGGAAUUACUAGUAAUCGUGGAUCAGCGUGCCACGGUGAAUGCGUUCCCGGGUCU
Molecule: ribosomal RNA, 1306 nt
Filed under: uncultured bacterium
Lineage: Bacteria
Description: bacterial SSU rRNA
Rfam family: Bacterial small subunit ribosomal RNA
Source: RNAcentral